RNAcentral lists this non-coding RNA (28 nucleotides) under Mus musculus (house mouse). Lineage: Eukaryota; Metazoa; Chordata; Mammalia; Rodentia; Muridae. The record is from RNAcentral.
UAGGCUUUGAGGGUGCGAUGCGCACGCU